GACGAACGCUGGCGGCGUGCUUAACACAUGCAAGUCGAACGGAAAGGCCCUGCUUUUGUGGGGUGCCCGAGUGGCGAACGGGUGAGUAACACGUGAGUAACCUGCCCUUGACUUUGGGAUAACUUCAGGAAACUGGGGCUAAUACCGGAUAGGAGCUCCUGCUGCAUGGUGGGGGUUGGAAAGUUUCGGCGGUUGGGGAUGGACUCGCGGCUUAUCAGCUUGUUGGUGGGGUAGUGGCUUACCAAGGCAUUGACGGGUAGCCGGCCUGAGAGGGUGACCGGCGACAUGGGGACUGAGAUACGGCCCAGACUCCUACAGUGGGCAACGGUGGAGAGUAUGGCACAAUGGGCGGAAGCCUGAUGCAGCAACGCCGCGUGCGGGAUGACGGCCUUCGGGUUGUAAACCGCUUUCGCCUGUGACGAAGCGUUAGUGACGGUAAUGGGUGAAGAAGCACCGGCUAACUACGUG
This 468-nucleotide ribosomal RNA is filed under the name uncultured bacterium. RNAcentral's name for it is "partial 16S ribosomal RNA". It matches the Rfam family "Bacterial small subunit ribosomal RNA", at positions 28 to 507 of the family's 1533-position model. The record is from RNAcentral.